AGAACAGACAAGUGAAAAAAUACAGAUGUACAAACAGAUGGAUAAUCUAUAGAUGAAUGCAAACAUAAAGCUAGAAGAGGGUGCAUUAUAACAUUUACCAAAUUAUAACAUAUACCUAAUAUGUAUAUAGUUUGUUAAGCUGUCAUACAACCAUGAUAAUUAUGUCAAAGACUAGUGACAGAUGUCGGAAGGAAUAUUCAGACCAUAGGGUAUCUGUGUAUAUAUAUAUAUACUAGAACACACUCGCGAAAUCGCGGGCAUAUACAGCUUGUGAACUGUGUUGGAUGAUUUUUUUUUUUUUUUUUUUUUUUUUUAAAUAUUAUGUAUGGAGAAUUCCAUAAAAGGUAUCAAAAGCCCUCUCCCUUUUUCAGAAGUCCGAUUGUAAAUGUCAAAUUAUAUUAAAAAAUUUGCACCGCUUCAAACAUGAAAUAAAUGUAACUGCUUAUAAAUAAUAAAAUAUGCUUCUAGGACAAUCCAUCAGUGCUUUUUCUUUUAAGAGCCUUAUUGACAUGCAAAUGGUAGGAUAUGAAUCUUGUAUAAAUGACUAAGACCGACUAAGGCUAAUUUGAGGGGUGGUCGGAGGGAUCCCGGAAUCCCGGCUAAUGACAUGACAUCCCAAGAUGAAGAAUUUAAAGAAAUUCAAAUCCCGAAAUCCUGAAAUCUAAAAAUAUAAUACCGGAUGAUCGGGAUCCCGUUAGGACCAAUCCCCAAAUGCCGAGCUUAAAAACACCCAAUCCCGACGUCCCGAAAAAGGUCCUGCCCCCUCUAAUCUCUACCCUACUUUCAUUUUUGCCAAAUCCCUACUUUCACUUUCAACAAUAGAUUUGCAUGUCCCAUUAAUUGGCAUUAUGUUUUCUAGUCUGUGCAUCCGUGCGUUCGUUCGUUCGUCCGUCUGUCCUGCUUUAGCUUAAAGUUUUUGGUCGAGGUAAUUUUUGAUGAAGUUGACGUCCAAUCAACUUGAAACUAAGUUAAUAUAGUGCCGAUGUGACAUCCGUGUACUAUGGACACAUUAUUGUUUCCACAUGUUUUACUUAUUUUAAAUGCAACUGGUAUGAUACCUUAAUUCGUAAACACUUCAAAGAAAACAGUAGACAGAAUACAG
This 1102-nucleotide long non-coding RNA is filed under the name Mytilus galloprovincialis (Mediterranean mussel). The record is from RNAcentral. Lineage: Eukaryota; Metazoa; Mollusca; Bivalvia; Mytilida; Mytilidae.